This 256-nucleotide long non-coding RNA is filed under the name Nicotiana benthamiana. Its description in RNAcentral is "long non-coding RNA (NBEN_LNC020069)". Lineage: Eukaryota; Viridiplantae; Streptophyta; Magnoliopsida; Solanales; Solanaceae. The record is from RNAcentral.
GAAUCCAUAAACUUUCGAACCCAUAAAUUUCAUAAAAUUCUGAACCGCUAAACUUUUGAAUCCGUAACUUUAUAAUGUCUAAACCUGUAAACUUCCAAAUACAUAAAUCUCCGAACUCAUAAUUUAGGAAUUUUAAAUUUUUUAAACUGAAAAAUGGAAAAAAACUAGAAAUGAAAAUAUAUAUAUAUAAAAAUAUUUUUUUAUUGCGGGUAGGGGUGUUCAUGGUUCGAUUUGGACCGAUUUUUUUCUAAAAAGA